ACUCCUACGGGAGGCAGCAGUGGGGAAUAUUGGACAAUGGGCGGAAGCCUGAUCCAGCAAUGCCGCGUGUGUGAAGAAGGCCUGAGGGUUGUAAAGCACUUUCAGUCGUGAGGAAGAUUAGAAGUUUAAGAGAUAUCUAUGAUGACGUUAGCGACAGAAGAAGCACCGGCUAACUCUGUGCCAGCAGCCGCGGUAAUACAGAGGGUGCAAGCGUUAAUCGGAAUGACUGGGCGUAAAGAGCGCGUAGGUGGUUAAUUAAGUUAGAUGUGAAAGACCCGGGCUUAACCUGGGGUGGUCAUUUAAUACUGGUUGACUUGAGUGCAGGAGAGGGAAGUGGAAUUUCCGGUGUAGCGGUGAAAUGCGUAGAUAUCGGAAGGAACACCAGUGGCGAAGGCGACUUCUGGCCUGCAACUGACACUGAGGCGCGAAAGCGUGGUUAGCG
This 442-nucleotide ribosomal RNA is filed under the name uncultured bacterium. RNAcentral describes it as "bacterial SSU rRNA". It matches the Rfam family "Bacterial small subunit ribosomal RNA", at positions 335 to 770 of the family's 1533-position model. The record is from RNAcentral.